UGAGGAAUAUUGGUCAAUGGGGGAAACCCUGAACCAGCGACGCCGCGUGUAGGACGAAGGGGCUUUGCCCUGUAAACUACUGUCGGAGGGGAAGAAAAGCCGUGAUUAUUCACGGCUGGGACUGUACCCUUAAAGGAAGGAUCGGCUAACUACGUGCCAGCAGCCGCGGUGAUACGUAGGAUCCAAGCGUUGUCCGGAAUUACUGGGUAUAAAGGGUGCGCAGGCGGGCUUGUGCGUCAGAGGUUAAAUGCCACGGCUCAACCGUGGAAAUGCCUUUGAUACGGCAAGUCUUGAGUACGAGAGAGGAUGGUAGAAUUCCUGGUGUAGCGGUGAAAUGCGUAGAUAUCAGGAGGAAUACCAGUGGCGAAGGCGGCCAUCUGGCUCGUAACUGACGCUCAGGCACGAAAGCGUGGGGAUCAAACAGG
This 425-nucleotide ribosomal RNA is filed under the name uncultured bacterium. RNAcentral's name for it is "bacterial SSU rRNA". It matches the Rfam family "Bacterial small subunit ribosomal RNA", at positions 355 to 776 of the family's 1533-position model. The record is from RNAcentral.